Molecule: long non-coding RNA, 413 nt
Filed under: Ananas comosus (pineapple)
Lineage: Eukaryota; Viridiplantae; Streptophyta; Magnoliopsida; Poales; Bromeliaceae
Description: long non-coding RNA (ACOM_LNC035627)
Source: RNAcentral
CUUUCUCUGUAGACUAAGUAAUUGUCAAUAUAUAUAAAUCUUGGUUUUUACUUUUUGUACUUAAGAGGCGUUUGGUUUGGCAUAAAAAUUACUUUCGGUAUAAAAAAUACUUUUUUGUUUGUUUGGUUCGACGUAAAAAUAUUUUUACGAAUCAAGAAAAAACUGAAAUUUUUAUUUUUUGCUGUUUUCAGUAGAAAACGAAAAUUCAAACUGCCUAAAAAUUUUUUUCAUUUAAUUUUUUUCAGCAAACCAAACAAAUAUAAUUUUUUUUUUCCUUUCAAUCAAAUAAAUAUAAAUGAAAAACUACUUUUCUUUUCUACAAAUCAAACACUACAAAACGUAAAAAAAUUUUCUCCGAAAAAUUUUUUUUUUCGUGAAAAAUUAUUUUUCACGAUUUUACAUUGGACGAAACG